Bactrocera dorsalis (oriental fruit fly) is the source of this 582-nucleotide RNA transcript. RefSeq lists it as uncharacterized. The transcript has 4 exons. Lineage: Eukaryota; Metazoa; Arthropoda; Insecta; Diptera; Tephritidae. The record is from RefSeq and is a predicted model, not a curated record.
UUUUUGUUCGUGGCACAUUUGCAUGACGGUCCGCAAGCACAGCGUCCGCUCUGGGAUUGUGUGGCACAUUUGCAACCUGUAAAUUAAUUGAUUAUUUCCAUUAAAUUAAUAAAUUGUCAUUCGGCGUUUCAGCGCUUGAAAGUCGGAUUCAAUGAAAGUUAAUUAACUUAUGGAGAAAUUAAUGUAUUGAUGCUUAUUUUAUAUAGUUUUCCAUAUGGCCCUUUAAACACUAACCUUCUGCUGUACCGAAAAUAAAAGUGAAAAAAAGUCAACUUCGCUUUGUUCCCCAACAGUCAUUAAGUUCCUACUGGGUCAGUGCACUUGAAGUGGCAAUAACACAAAUACAUACAUACGAGUUGUCAAUGUGGCACUCAGCCAAAGAGCGGUAAUUGUGGCUGCGGCGCGGCUUGCAAGUGCUGUCCCUGCGGAAGCGGUUGCAAGUGCGGUUCACAAACUCAGAGUGGCAGCUGUGGUUGCGGCAGUGGCUGCAAAUGUGGACAAUAAAGAACACACAGCAACCAAUUUCUAAUAAUGUACCGUAAUGUUUCACAUUAAAAAUAAAUUUACUUAUGGCGAGAUAAA